Long non-coding RNA from Molossus molossus (Pallas's mastiff bat), 549 nucleotides. RefSeq lists it as uncharacterized. The record is from RefSeq and is a predicted model, not a curated record. The transcript has 3 exons. NCBI's taxonomy places the organism in Eukaryota, Metazoa, Chordata, Mammalia, Chiroptera, Molossidae.
UAUGAUCUUUGUAUUUGACUUUCAAGUGAGCAGCUUCUUGCAAUAUCACUACAUGAUUGAUGCUGGUAUUAGAAAGCUCUCUGCAACGGGACAGUUAUGUGGGAGUAAAGAAAUGAUAGACAACACUGUCUGCAAAUACGUUGACGUGUCUUCUCUCUGCUCUGAAAACGAGAAGGCUUCAGAUUUGAAAUGAAAGGCCCCGACUCGAGGAAAGAGUCUGUAGGAGAAGUGGAAGAAAGGCAGAGGAAUCUAAACUUGGGGUCUCUAGAGAAGAAAUGGACCCCCGUUCCCAGUUCUUCAGCUUCCGGAUGAGGAAGGCGCAAACAGGCAGAGAUAGACCUCGGCUAAGGAACCUUUCCUGCUGUCCCCGGCUUGUCUUCCGGUCCUGGCUUUUGCCCAUCCGAUGCAGAGUUUGGUGGCACCCCCGUUCAGCUUUACCCUUCCAGACCGAGUGGUCCUGUGGCACAGCAGGAAGACCUAGCCUAGGAGUCAGGAGACCUUGGUUCAAGCCUCAGUUCUGCUACAAGCCGGCUUUGGGAAGGUCUUUGA